UAUUAUCUGGUUAAAUGGACCAGGGUGUGCCGAUCUAAGAAUAAGGGUGGGCUGGGGGUGAAAGAUCUUCACAAACAGAAUAUCUCACUAUUAGCAAAAUGGUGGUGGAAGUUAGAUACAGGAGAGGGGCUGUGGCAAGAUGUGGUAAGGGCAAAAUACCUUAAGAACAAUUCACUAGCUGCUGUGAAAGCGAAAUUUCAUGAUUCCCCUGUAUGGAAAGCACUACUUAAAGUAAAAGAGAUGUAUAUGGCUGGAAGGAAGGUGAUUGUCAAUAAUGGCAAUGUUGCCAGGUUGUGGCAUGAUCCCAUUGGCACUCACCAGCCUUUGGGUGUCACUUAUCCGACCCUGUUCAGUAUCGCUAAUUAUCAGGACGAUACUAUUGCUCAAUUUAUCAAACCGUGCUAG
This 405-nucleotide ribosomal RNA is filed under the name Triticum aestivum (bread wheat). Its description in RNAcentral is "partial small subunit ribosomal RNA". Lineage: Eukaryota; Viridiplantae; Streptophyta; Magnoliopsida; Poales; Poaceae. The record is from RNAcentral.